AUAUAAACCGCCACACUGCGGGCGGAAGAGCCCUCAGUCUGUCGUGGAAGAAACUGAUGCACUAUGUGUGGAAGACCAAGUACCAAGAUGCUUAACUGCUGCUUUGAGAGUGGAAUCUGGUGACCUGUGACCGUGGCCUGUGGAUGAGCUUCUGCGUUUGUACGAGUACUGUUUAAUGUGUAAAAUUCCCCCCCUGGUGAUGCUGGUGAUGAUCGUGUAAAUCUAUAGCUCUCUUUUAUGUACUUUGUAAGUUUGCUUUUUAUUUUUUAUUACUAUUAAAUGAGACUUUGAAACCAUCG
Molecule: long non-coding RNA, 299 nt
Organism: Sinocyclocheilus rhinocerous
Lineage: Eukaryota; Metazoa; Chordata; Actinopteri; Cypriniformes; Cyprinidae
Exons: 3
Source: RefSeq, a predicted model, not a curated record